RNAcentral lists this ribosomal RNA (459 nucleotides) under uncultured bacterium. RNAcentral describes it as "partial 16S ribosomal RNA". It matches the Rfam family "Bacterial small subunit ribosomal RNA", at positions 338 to 795 of the family's 1533-position model. The record is from RNAcentral.
CCUACGGGAGGCAGCAGUGAGGAAUAUUGGUCAAUGGCCGAGAGUCUGAACCAGCCAAGUAGCGUGAAGGAAGACUGCCCUACGGGUUGUAAACCUCUUUUAUAAAGGAGUAAAGUGAGUCACGUGUGCCUCUUUGAGUGUACUCUAUGAAUAAGGAUCGGCUAACUCCGUGCCAGCAGCCGCGGUAAUACGGAGGAUGCGAGCGUUAUCCGGAUUUAUUGGGUUUAAAGGGUGCGCAGGGGGAGGUAUAAGUCAGCGGUAAAAUUGCGGGGCUCAACCCCGUACUGCCGUUGAAACUGGAAGCCUUGAGUGCGGGAGAGGUAUGCGGAAUGCGUGGUGUAGCGGUGAAAUGCAUAGAUAUCACGCAGAACUCCGAUUGCGAAGGCAGCAUACUGGACCGCAACUGACGCUCAUGCACGAAAGCGUGGGUAUCGAACAGGAUUAGAUACCCCGGUAGUC